GCAGCAAGGCCUUGGGGUCCGGGCCAGGGAGCCAUGGAAGCUCCCCCCAGGGUGUAUAAUGGGAAGCUUGGUUUUUAGGUCACCCUGGAGGCCCAUGUGCAGGAGGCUUGGCAGGAAGGGGAGAGGCUGUAGGCAGGGUGGCCACAAAGAGGUGAUGAGGGGCUGACUCCAGUAGGGGUCUCGGGGAGGCGAGGAGGAUGAGGAUGCGGGAGGUGGCACACUCAGAAGGCAGUGGCCGGUUGGUCUGGGGGCCGUCAGGCAGGCAGGUGGCGAGGGCUACUCCCAGGCAAAUGUCAGGCUUGAGUGGAUGGGUAGAUGGACAGUUGGGUGGACAGUGGUCAUGCCCCCUCCUAGACGGGGAACAGGGAGGAAGGCGCAGCUGUGUGGGGCUUAGGAGGAGCCUGUGGGGCAGCUCCUGGGUGAAUGAUCCCAAAGGCAGGGCCAGAGCACACACAGAUUGGGCUGUGGAGUGAGGCAGGCCUCAGAGAAGCGGGGGCGGCCCGCAGCAGGCAGAGCUCGGACCUCAGCUGCCAAGGCACAGUCUGGCGGGGGGCAGGCAGCUCAGGAGGGGAUGGGCUUGGGUGUGGCAGAGGAGGUGGGGCUUGGCACGGGGCCACAGAGGCUGGAGGGAGUGGUCACCACUGCUGGCACUGCACGCUGCCAGAAGGUCAGGUUAGAUCAUCGUCCUGCAGGGAGGGGUGGAAACCAGCCAGUGGGUGGAUUGUCCAGGGGCUACAGGCAAAGGACAGGCCCUCGGCAAGGCAGCCG
Molecule: long non-coding RNA, 768 nt
Filed under: Homo sapiens (human)
Lineage: Eukaryota; Metazoa; Chordata; Mammalia; Primates; Hominidae
Description: HSALNT0262472
Source: RNAcentral